UACGUAGGGGGCAAGCGUUGUCCGGAUUUAUUGGGCGUAAAGAGCGUGUAGGCGGCCUGACAGGUCUGCUGUGAAAACUCGAGGCUCAACCUCGAGCUGUCGGCGGAAACCAUCUGGCUAGAGUCCGGAAGAGGAGAGUGGAAUUCCUGGUGUAGCGGUGAAAUGCGCAGAUAUCAGGAAGAACACCUAUGGCGAAGGCAGCUCUCUGGGACGGUACUGACGCUGAGACGCGAAAGCGUGGGGAGCGAACAGG
Molecule: ribosomal RNA, 253 nt
Filed under: uncultured bacterium
Lineage: Bacteria
Description: partial 16S ribosomal RNA
Rfam family: Bacterial small subunit ribosomal RNA
Source: RNAcentral